UUUCUCGCGUCUCGCAAUCUAUCCUUUUGUUGUUGGGAUAGUGCAGCCUCGUCCUGCGGCUCCUCGUAGCCGUUCUCCACGAUUUCCCAAACAUCGUGGGCUCCCAAUAGCGCCUUCAUCUUGAUGCUCCAAUUGUCGAAGUUGCUCUUGUUGAGCAUGGGGACUUGAAAGGAUUGUAAAUUCGCCAUACCACAAGUAGAAUCUUGUGGCUCUGAUACCACUUUGUUGGAAAUUUAAGAAAUAUGUAAUGGAGAAUUAAUUUGAUUGGCUAAAGGAAAUUUGGAGAGAUUGGUUGGAUGGAUCACUUUAUAUUAAAGG
Molecule: long non-coding RNA, 318 nt
Filed under: Salvia miltiorrhiza (redroot sage)
Lineage: Eukaryota; Viridiplantae; Streptophyta; Magnoliopsida; Lamiales; Lamiaceae
Description: long non-coding RNA (SMIL_LNC003815)
Source: RNAcentral